AACGAACGCUGGCGGCAGGCCUAACACAUGCAAGUCGAGCGCUCACUUCGGUGGGAGCGGCGGACGGGUUAGUAACGCGUGGGAACGUGCCCUUCUCUACGGAAUAGCCAUUGGAAACGAUGAGUAAUACCGUAUACGCCUCGGGAAGAUUAUCGAGAGAUCGCCGCGUAGAUAGAUAGUGUGGGUAACGGCCUACCAAGUCUACGAUCUAUAGCUGGUUUAGUAGGAUGAUCAGCAACACUGGGACUGAGACACGGCCCAGACUCCUACGGGAGGCAGCAGUGGGGAAUCUUAGACAAUGGCGCAAGCCUGAUCUAGCCAUGCCGCGUGAGUG
This 334-nucleotide ribosomal RNA is filed under the name uncultured bacterium. Its description in RNAcentral is "bacterial SSU rRNA". It matches the Rfam family "Bacterial small subunit ribosomal RNA", at positions 29 to 407 of the family's 1533-position model. The record is from RNAcentral.